RNAcentral lists this long non-coding RNA (1029 nucleotides) under Olea europaea subsp. europaea. The record is from RNAcentral. Lineage: Eukaryota; Viridiplantae; Streptophyta; Magnoliopsida; Lamiales; Oleaceae.
UCUCUCUUCCCCAAAAAUCAGAUGGUCACUCUCUUACACAAAUAUUAGGUCGACGACUUCUUCCACACCUCACCCUCUAGAUUUUGACCACCUGCUGCUUCUCCUGUCGGAGUUUCGCGAAACUGGUCGCCUACAACAUCGAUGGCUGCAACCACUCGCAACGAUUCGACGGCUUCUUCCCCACCCCACCCCACCCCACCCCACCCCACCCCACCCUCUAGAUUUUAGCCACCUAUUUCUUCUCUCGCUGGAGUUUCGUGAGAUCGAUCGCCUAUUGUAUCGAUGGCUGCAACUGCUCGCAACAGUUGCAGUCACUGCAGAUUUCAGCAAGUGCACGUCGAGUGGUGGAUCGCUGAGGUGUUGUAGCACAGCUUAUGGAUCUGAAAUUUUCUCCAAUGUUGCAUAUCAUAGCAGCGAUCCACCAUUUGUGGAGGUUCUUGAGUGGUUUUUGUGAUGAUUUUGCAACAUAUUUUAUUAUGGUUUUUGAGGUAUUGGCCGUGGUAGUGUACUAUGGUGGCGAUAAUCGGUUUAUGGAUUUUUUGGUGGGAUAUCGGUGGGGAUAGUAUGGUAGAUGGAGAUAGAGAAGAUGGUGGUACUAUGCUAUGGGUGUGUUGUGCAGUGGUGGUGCUACAGUUUUGCAAGUGUUGUGGUGGUGGUAAUUGUGGAGAUAGCAAUAUAGAUGCAAUGGUGCUCAUGGUGGUGGCGGAGGUAUGAUAAAUUUUUAAUUCGUGGUAGUUUAGGCUGUGAUGGUUUUGUGGUUAGCUAUGAUAGUUCUGUGAUCGGUUGUGACUUGAAAUUGACUUGGUCACAAACAAUCACACUGAAUUCAACUUUUGUCACAGUUAGUCACACCGAAGAUAAAGUUGAUCACGGUUAAUCGCAGGUUUGCGGUGUGUGCAGAUUUGUUUGUGGUGAUCAUGUGCGAUCAAAUAUGUGUUUGUUGUGACUGUUUGCGACCAAUUUUGUGUUGAUUGUGAUCGAUUGUAACUUGAGAUUGACCUGGUCAUAAACAGUCACACUGAAAAUAAA